UGCAGACGCCACCGACCCGGAGCCGCCUUCGCGGCCCAGCCAUGGUCAACCCCACCGUGUUCUUCGAUAUCGCCGUGGACGGCGAGCCCUUGGGCCGCGUCUCCUUCGAGCUAUUUGCAGACAAAGUUCCAAAGACAGCAGAGAACUUCCGUGCCCUGAGCACUGGGGAGAAAGGAUUUGGUUAUAAAGGUUCCUGCUUUCACAGGAUUAUUCCGGGAUUUAUGUGCCGGGGGGGGGGACUUCACACGCCAUAAUGGCACUGGAGGCAAGUCCAUCUAUGGGGAGAAGUUUGAUGAUGAGAAUUUCAUCCUGAAGCACACGGGUCCUGGCAUCCUGUCCAUGGCCAACGCUGGACCCAACACGAACGGUUCCCAGUUCUUCAUCUGCACUGCCAAGACUGAGUGGUUGGAUGGCAAGCACGUGGUCUUCGGCAAGGUCAAAGAGGGCAUGAACAUCGUGGAGGCCAUGGAGCGCUUUGGGUCCAGGAACGGCAAGACCAGCAAGAAGAUCACCAUUGCUGACUGUGGACAGAUCUAGGAAAUCCGACUCGUGUUUUAUCUUAACUACCAGACCAUUCCUUGUGUAGCUCGGGAGAGCACCCCUCCACCCCCACCUGCUUGAAGUACCCCAGAAUCUCUGUGCUCUCGCUGCAGUUCUGCGGGCUCCAUGGUUCCUUCUCCCCAGGUCUAGCUGGAUGGCAGAGCUCAGUUGAUGAUGAUGAAAUAAAACCUAAACCACAAAAAAAAA
RNA transcript from Odobenus rosmarus divergens (Pacific walrus), 747 nucleotides. It is a transcript of the gene named peptidyl-prolyl cis-trans isomerase A-like, with no coding region annotated. NCBI's taxonomy places the organism in Eukaryota, Metazoa, Chordata, Mammalia, Carnivora, Odobenidae. The transcript has a single exon. The record is from RefSeq and is a predicted model, not a curated record.